This 325-nucleotide ribosomal RNA is filed under the name Sceloporus siniferus. RNAcentral describes it as "partial 12S ribosomal RNA". It matches the Rfam family "Bacterial small subunit ribosomal RNA", at positions 866 to 1362 of the family's 1533-position model. The record is from RNAcentral. Lineage: Eukaryota; Metazoa; Chordata; Lepidosauria; Squamata; Phrynosomatidae.
UGUCCGNCAGAAAACUACGAGCGAAAAGCUUAAAACUCAAAGGACUUGGCGGUGCUCUAUAUCAACUUAGAGGAGCCUGUCCUAUAAUCGAUAAUCCACGCUAAACCUCACCAAUACUUGCCAAAACAGCCUAUAUACCGCCGUCGCCAACUUACCUCAUGAGAGAAAAACAGUAAGUAUAAAAGUCUAAAAACUAAAACGUCAGGUCAAGGUGUAGCUUAUAGAUUGGAAGAGAUGGGCUACAUUUUUUAUACUAAAACCACGGCAUGAUCUCAUGAAACUGGGGCCUGAAGAAGGAUUUAACAGUAAAACCAGNAAGAAAAUU